This 468-nucleotide ribosomal RNA is filed under the name uncultured bacterium. Its description in RNAcentral is "partial 16S ribosomal RNA". The stretch from base 56 to 468 matches the Rfam family "Bacterial small subunit ribosomal RNA", at positions 39 to 507 of the family's 1533-position model. The record is from RNAcentral.
GGGGGGGGGGGGGGGGGGGGGGGGGGCGGGGGGGGCGGGGGGGGGGGGGCGGGGGGUGGGGGGGGCUGGGGGGGCGGGCGGGUGGGUAGCGCGGGGGUGCCCGGCCCGUGGCUGGGGGGUGACUUGGGGGAACUGGGGCUAGUACCGGAGAGGAGCUCCUGCUGCAUGGUGGGGGGUGGAACGUUUCGGCGGUUGGGGAUGGACUCGCGGCUUAUCAGCUGGUUGGUGGGGGAGUGGCUUACCAAGGCUUUGACGGGUAGCCGGCCUGAGAGGGUGACCGGCCACAUUGGGACUGAGAUACGGCCCAGACUCCUACGGGAGGCAGCAGUGGGGAAUAUUGCACAAUGGGCGGAAGCCUGAUGCAGCAACGCCGCGUGCGGGAUGACGGCCUUCGGGUUGUAAACCGCUUUCGCCUGUGACGAAGCGUGAGUGACGGUAAUGGGUAAAGAAGCACCGGCUAACUACGUG